RNAcentral lists this ribosomal RNA (253 nucleotides) under uncultured bacterium. Its description in RNAcentral is "partial 16S ribosomal RNA". It matches the Rfam family "Bacterial small subunit ribosomal RNA", at positions 524 to 776 of the family's 1533-position model. The record is from RNAcentral.
UACGUAGGGUGCAAGCGUUGUCAGGAAUUAUUGGGCGUAAAGAGCUCGUAGGCGGUUUGUCGCGUCUGCUGUGAAAGUUCGGGGCUCAACCCCGGAACUGCAGUGGGUACGGGCAGACUAGAGUGCGGUAGAGGAGACUGGAAGUCCUGGUGUAGCGGUGGAAUUCGCAGAUAUCAGGAAGAACACCAGUGGCGAAGGCGGGCCUCCGGACCGCAACUGACGCUGAGGAGCGAAAGCGUGGGGAGCGAACAAG